Gorilla gorilla gorilla (western lowland gorilla) is the source of this 438-nucleotide long non-coding RNA. RefSeq lists it as uncharacterized. The record is from RefSeq and is a predicted model, not a curated record. The transcript is spliced from 3 exons. Lineage: Eukaryota; Metazoa; Chordata; Mammalia; Primates; Hominidae.
CCGUCCUCUUGUGCUGAGUCAGUUCUUGAGUGGGAGCCACAAGAUCAGAUGAGACAGUUUAUCCAUCUGGGCGGUGCCAGCUGAUCCAUCAAGUGCAGGUCUCUAGGAGGAGCAGUCUCUCCCUAGACAGCAAGGCCCCAGAUGUCAAAACAUCAGAUAGAGAAACUAGAAAAUGUGGUUAAUACAAUAGGAUUUGAUCUCGUGUUGGAGGAAUUCGGGAUGGCUCAAGAAAAGUGGGUGCUCAGCAUUGAAUGUUAUCAAGACACAAGAUGAUUCUCUGAGGAAAUUGAGGCUCAGAAAAAUUAAGCUCCUUGACUAAGGUCACAAAGCCACAAGUAGAUGCUUUGUUCCCAGCUACUUCAUGAUUCUACUUCCUCUCUGCUAUAAAGGUUCCUUCUGAAACUAUGGCUGAAGAUAGGAGGAAAAGCUACACUGAGC